AGAGUUUGAUCCUGGCUCAGAAUCAACGCUGGCGGCGCGCUUAACACAUGCAAGUCGCACGAGAAAGCGGGAGCAAUCCCGCAAGUACAGUGGCGUACGGGUGAGUAACACGUGGGUGAUCUACCCUUUAGUGGGGAAUAACGCUGGGAAACCGGCGCUAAUACCGCAUAAGCUCGAGAGAGGAAAGCAGCAAUGCGCUGAAGGAGGAGCCCGCGGCCGAUUAGCUAGUUGGUAGGGUAAAAGCCUACCAAGGCAGAGAUCGGUAGCCGGCCUGAGAGGGCACACGGCCACACUGGCACUGAAACACGGGCCAGACUCCUACGGGAGGCAGCAGUGGGGAAUCUUGCACAAUGGGGGAAACCCUGAUGCAGCGACGCCGCGUGAGCGAUGAAGCCCUUCGGGGUGUAAAGCUCUUUCGUCAGGGACGAUAAUGACGGUACCUGGAGAAGCAGCUGCGGCUAACUACAUGCCAGCAGCCGCGGUAAUACGUAGGCAGCGAGCGUUGUUCGGAGUUACUGGGCGUAAAGGGUGUGUAGGCGGUUUUCUAAGUUUGGUGUGAAAUCUCCCGGCUCAACCGGGAGGGUGCGCCGAAAACUGGGAGACUAGAGUGCGGGAUGGGAGAGUAGAAUUCCUGGUGUAGCGGUGAAAUGCGUAGAUAUCAGGAGGAAUACCGGUGGUGUAGACGGCUCUCUGGACCGCCACUGACGCUGAGACACGAAAGCGUGGGUAGCAAACAGGAUUAGAUACCCUGGUAGUCCACGCCCUAAACGAUGCAUAUUUGGUGUAGGUCAUUCAGUUGAUCUGUGCCGGAGCUAACGCGUUAAAUAUGCCGCCUGGGGAGUACAGUCGCAAGGCUGAAACUCAAGGAAUUGACGGGGGCCCGCACAAGCGGUGGAGCAUGUGGUUCAAUUCGACGCAACGCGAAGAACCUUACCUGGGCUCGAACGGCUGGUUAACGGCAUUGGAAACAGUGCUACCCCCGCAAGAG
Molecule: ribosomal RNA, 988 nt
Filed under: uncultured bacterium
Lineage: Bacteria
Description: bacterial SSU rRNA
Rfam family: Bacterial small subunit ribosomal RNA
Source: RNAcentral